AUUGAACGCUGGCGGCAUGCCUUACACAUGCAAGUCGAACGGCAGCACGGGAGCAAUCCUGGUGGCGAGUGGCGAACGGGUGAGUAAAGUAUCGGAACGUGCCCAGUCGUGGGGGAUAACGUAGCGAAAGUUACGCUAAUACCGCAUACGAUCUAUGGAUGAAAGCGGGGGAUCGCAAGACCUCGCGCGAUUGGAGCGGCCGAUAUCAGAUUAGGUAGUUGGUGGGGUAAAGGCUCACCAAGCCGACGAUCUGUAGCUGGUCUGAGAGGACGACCAGCCACACUGGGACGGAGAAACGGCCCAGACUCCUACGGGAGGCAGCAGUGGGGAAGUUUGGACAAUGGGCGAAAGCCUGAUCCAGCCAUGCCGCGUACAGGAUGAAGGCCUUCGGGUUGUAAACUGCUUUUGUACGGAACGAAAAGGUUUGGCCUAAUAAGCUGAGCUCAUGACGGUACCGUAAGAAUAAGCACCGGCUAACUACGUGCCAGCCGCCGCGGUAA
RNAcentral lists this ribosomal RNA (500 nucleotides) under uncultured bacterium. Its description in RNAcentral is "partial 16S ribosomal RNA". It matches the Rfam family "Bacterial small subunit ribosomal RNA", at positions 30 to 523 of the family's 1533-position model. The record is from RNAcentral.